Molecule: ribosomal RNA, 442 nt
Filed under: uncultured bacterium
Lineage: Bacteria
Description: partial 16S ribosomal RNA
Rfam family: Bacterial small subunit ribosomal RNA
Source: RNAcentral
CCUACGGGAGACAGCAGUGGGGAAUAUUGGGCAAUGGGCGCAAGCCUGACCCAGCAACGCCGCGUGAAGUAAGAAGGCUUUCGGGUUGUAAACUUCUUUUAAGAGGGAAGAGCAGAAGACGGUACCUCUUGAAUAAGCCACGGGUAACUACGUGCCAGCAGCUGCGGUAAUACGGAGGUGGCAGGUGUUGUCCGGAUUUACUGGGUGUAAAGGGCGUGCAGCCGGGAAGACAAGUCAGGUGUGAAAUCCCGCGGGUCAACCGCGGAACUGCAUUUGAAACUGGUUUUCUUGAGUACCGGAGAGGUCAGCGGAAUGCCUUGUGUAGCGGUGAAAUGCGUAGAUAUAAGGAAGAACACCAGUGGCGAAGGCAGAUGACUGGACGGCAACUGACGGUGAGGCGCGAAAGCGUGGGGAGCGAACAGGAUUAGAUACCCUAGUAGUC